This 375-nucleotide long non-coding RNA is filed under the name Zonotrichia albicollis (white-throated sparrow). Its description in RNAcentral is "lncRNA (ENSZALG00000009340.1)". Lineage: Eukaryota; Metazoa; Chordata; Aves; Passeriformes; Passerellidae. The record is from RNAcentral.
GAACUUGAACUUCAUGUACUAGUUCCCUGCGUUCAAGAAAUGUGUUUCUCUCUCAACAGGUUCUUUGCUCUGGAGUAAUAAGUACAGGGCUGUGAGCAGGGACACACUCAUGUAGGUCUGAGGAAUCACUGCAGUCUGGGUGCAUGAAGAUGGCCUCUACCCAGACUGAAGGCAGAGCAAGAUGCACAGCCCUGACCCAGCAACAUGUACAGCCCAACCAAAGCACAUGAAGUUCAUAUAAAGGAGCUACUUUGCCAUUACCUGCUGUGUAAGUCUUGACUUCAAGUUGUGCAUGUGAUCCCCAAUAGGAGUGAAUUAACCAAGGUAAAUAUGUUAUUUAUAAAUGAUCCAUAAAUAGUCUCUGGUUAGCUCUUG